GGGGAAUAUUGGACAAUGGGGGAAACCCUGAUCCAGCGACGCCGCGUGGGUGAAGAAGGCCUGCGGGUUGUAAAGCCCUUUCGGUGGGGAAGAAAAGCCUCGACCUAAUACGUCGGGGUCUUGACGUAACCCACAAAAGAAGCACCGGCUAACUCUGUGCCAGCAGCCGCGGUAAUACAGAGGGUGCGAGCGUUAAUCGGAAUUACUGGGCGUAAAGCGCGCGUAGGCGGCUCUGCAAGUCGGGUGUGAAAUCCCCGGGCUCAACCUGGGAACUGCAUUCGAUACUGCAUUGCUAGAGUAUGGGAGAGGGAAGUGGAAUUUCAGGUGUAGCGGUGAAAUGCGUAGAUAUCUGAAGGAACAUCAGUGGCGAAAGCGACUUCCUGGACCAAUACUGACGCUCAUGUGCGAAAGCGUGGGGAGCAAA
RNAcentral lists this ribosomal RNA (424 nucleotides) under uncultured bacterium. RNAcentral's name for it is "bacterial SSU rRNA". It matches the Rfam family "Bacterial small subunit ribosomal RNA", at positions 356 to 772 of the family's 1533-position model. The record is from RNAcentral.